UGGGCCUAUAGCUCAGCUGGUUUAGAGCGCACGCCUGAUAAGCGUGAGGUCGAUGGUUCGAGUCCAUUUAGGCCCAU
This 77-nucleotide transfer RNA is filed under the name Pediococcus pentosaceus. RNAcentral's name for it is "tRNA-Ile(gat)". It matches the Rfam family "tRNA". Rfam says of the family: Transfer RNA (tRNA) molecules are approximately 80 nucleotides in length. Their secondary structure includes four short double-helical elements and three loops (D, anti-codon, and T loops). Lineage: Bacteria; Bacillati; Bacillota; Bacilli; Lactobacillales; Lactobacillaceae. The record is from RNAcentral. RNAcentral also lists the same sequence under 10 other names.